This 80-nucleotide transfer RNA is filed under the name Perkinsus marinus ATCC 50983. It matches the Rfam family "tRNA". From Rfam's summary of the family: Transfer RNA (tRNA) molecules are approximately 80 nucleotides in length. Their secondary structure includes four short double-helical elements and three loops (D, anti-codon, and T loops). The record is from Rfam by way of RNAcentral. Lineage: Eukaryota; Perkinsozoa; Perkinsida; Perkinsidae.
GACAGUUUGGCCAAGUGGUCUAAGGCGCUAGCUUAAGGCGCCGGUCCGAAAGGGCGUGGGUUCGAACCCCACAGCUGUCA